AGGAGUCUCUAUUGGAGAUGGAGGUGUACUGGACAGCAGAGGAGGCUGGACAACCAGGAGGACUUGCUGUGUACCAGCUCCCUGCUGACGGUCACCACUGUCUAAAUGCAUGGGCACCACAUCUAACUGUAACUCUGUGUGAGUGUGUGUGAUGUUAAGCAUACAAUACGACAUUUUAGAGAAUCCUCUUGUUCUGUCUUUAACAAAUUAAGAUAAGAAAAUGGAUAUCAGUUUCAUCUUUGUGUGUCCAGUAUUGAGUUAGGUCCAGGACGUCUUUCCCCAGCUAGGCAGAAAUACUGGAAUUAGGAAGAAACUGCUAGCUCAACUUAAACUCAACAACUUAAAACUCCAAAGCUAUCUGAUUUAAACAAACAGUUUCUACUUUUAUAAAUCUGUAUCAUUACAUGGGUCUUCCAAACUCUGAGUGAUGUAAUAUUAAUUUGCUCACAUCCAUGCAGACCUGUUUGCCAUCCACCCUGCUGUCUCUGUCCUUUUUGUAGUAUUUUUGAGACUUUAAUUAUCCACAUACAGUUAAUCAUUUCUAUACUGAAGCACAAAGAAGAAACUGAUAACAAUCCUCUCAUAUGACUCUGAGAAAGACAGGGAACAAGAAGAUUUACCGAAAUGUCGGUCUGUUCCUUUAAUGAAUGUGUGCGAGAAAGGGAACUUCACCGUCAUUGCUGUACAUCACCUCAACUGAUAGCUUUAUGUGUGAGUGUGUCGCCACUGUACAGCACUUCGGACAAAAUGUGUGUGUCAGUGCAUGACGCUUGUAAAGACAAACAACUAAACAAGGUCAGAUGAGCGUGUAUGUUUGCAUCAUGUGUUUCAUGCUACAUCUUAUGCUACAUUUAUCUCACAGAAUCUUUAACAAAAUUACAAAAAAUGGGGUUCAGAAUCAAAUCCUCAAACAGACCAUGAGAUUUCGGGGAGCAAUAUUGUUCUGCGUGAUGUACCUGGCUGUGCACUAACAAUAAAUCACACAUGACUACUUUUACAUCAGGGCCACAGAACACAUCAACUGUAGCAAUGCAGACAUUGACAACUGAGAUUUGAUACCAAAUCCUGAAUGGUUUUUAUAGAAACUCUGUUUACAAUUAAAAUAUCAGUUGAUGAGAGCUUUUGUAACUGAAAUGAAAACGCGACCUGAUUUAUGGGGUUGUGAAACACUAGUGAAACCGUGUUGAUCAGGGAUGGGGAACAAUGUGCCACAUAAGGAUUUUGAACACAUUUUUAAUCUGCAACAUCAGCUGCUGGUAUGCUUUGAUUGGAGUUUAUGUUGCGUCACAUCGUAUCAUUGAGACGUUACUUAAAAAACUCAUUCACACCAACUCUGAGUUGUAAUUUCUUGUUGGAGGUAUAUGGAAUUUCUGAUUUUCUAGUAAAAGAACUGGAGAAAACAGUUGUAAAAUGUUUGAAAAGUCACCACCACUUGCAAUUACAUCUAAAAAAAGGCACUAUUAAAACAAUCAUGAAACUGAUUCAAAUAUUUGAAUAGGAGCACUGCACUUAUGUGUAGCAUAUUAGCUAAAUAUAGUUCAUAUGGUAAAAAUAUUGAUCUCCAUUUAUCUGGUGUGGCUACAAUGUUAGCAACAGACUUGUUUCAAUCAGCCCUUGGUUGUCACCGCCUCCAUUGUUUCCAGUGUAAACAUGAUUAGAGCUGUGUCGCCGAGGUGGGCGGCAGUAGGAUGUUGCUUUUGUGAAUCUCUACGGUUAUUUGCGAUGAUGACUGAACUUUUUUUAAUGUGCUGCUGCAGCUUGCUGUAAGACAAUGGCCGACACAGAUACCACACCAAUUAAAACAAUACAUAAUACAUCUGGUUUUUGUUUUUGGGCCUGAGUACCAUGAAUGAUACAACUAUCAGCAAACAUAACAAUGAAAAACAACUAAUUUGAAAAGAAAGCAUGAAAAACGUGCAAAGUGACAAUAUCAAUUAGUGCAUUUAGGUGCUGACGUGGCCUAUAUGCAUUAUAAGAUCUUUAGCUUUUCAUGGCACAUGGCUCCCUGUCCCUGCUGUCGUCUUUACUGUUGGCAGGAUGUUUACAGAUCUACCUACCAAGGUACCAGCUUAUGCAUGUUUACUGAAAUCAACAGUGAUGCGUUGACUGUGUGGAGACAAUUUCAAAGAUGUGAAGAUACACCUUAAGUCAACUUUACAUUUAGUUGUCCAGACUGUUGCAGCGUCUGUACAGUCAGGACAGACAGAGCUCAAGUCAGUGCUGACAUUCCACUAAAAGCAGGUACAGUGUGAGUAAAUCUGAAAUCUACUGAUUCCAGGUCUGCAGUUCGGGAAAAUGUGCAAUAAUACCUCAAGCUACUUUUAAUAUGACAAUGACAGUGUUAUGUGCGCUUCCUGUCUGGUGUCCAUCGAAUGCAGUAACUCGUUUUAAAUCAAACUGAUGCACAAACGUAAAGAGACACCACAAGUGCACAGCAAUCCUAGAAUCUAAAAUGGCAAGAGCAACGGCUAUGUAGAUACAGUAAUUACAUUAUUUCUUUACAUUGUUUUCCAUGAGAGGGACCUAAGAAAACAACUUUUUGCACAUCAUUUUUUAUACGAAAAGUUCUCCCUACCUUUCUGUACCAGGGACUGAGGCCAGUGGAACGACUGUAGAUAGAACGACAGUGUAUGUUGAUGUUUUCUUUAUAAACUAUCAUAGUGAUUUAUGGAGGAAAAAAAUAAGUUUAUUGUCAUUGUGUUGGACAUAUUUCAAUAUUUUUCUUGUGAUGGUUACAAAACCAAUGUGAACAGUUACUAUGAUCUUUAAAAUUUACUUAAUUUACUCAAAAGCUGGUAUAACUUUGAUUUACCAUUUUCAAAGAGUGAACACAAAAUGUGAAUAUUAUUGUCUCUUUAAAUGGCUAAAUUGAAUUUUACUGUUGUUUUGUGUCAUUAUGACAUGUACAUAUUGAUUUUGUCAGAAGGUGCAGAUGAGGUUGGAGUUAGUAACCGGACAUGCUGAUGCCAUCAGACGCCUCCAGUGAUUUAUCAUGUGAUUCUGUAGGUUUAUAGCUGUGUUAUGGAGGCUGUACAUACAGCACAGAGAUUUACAUUGUAGUAUUAGUACGUUUAACACUCAUAAUAUUGUCAAAAUUCAUGGAAAGUGGUUCAGUUUGUUCUGAAUGUUAAAUGUGGCAUCCAUGAAUUAUGAGUAGGAUCACCGACACUGUAAUACUUAAAGAACACAACAUUUUAGAUACAUCUUUUUGUUCUCUGUCUUCUCCAGAGUCACAUGAUUCAGAUAGAUAUCCAUUUCAUCACUGUGUGUCCAGUACAAAAAUUGCUCUGUAAUGUGUCAAAAGACGGAAACAUCCAACAACUGAGGAUAAAAACGUUUGAUCUUAUUCAUUUAACAUGUAUAUUUUAGAAAUAUAGUAAUGACAAGUUGUGGUUUUACAGGAUGUGCUUAGUUUAGUUGGCAACAACAGGGGAAGUGCUAGCCUAUUCCCAUCAAAAACCGUACAAUGCCAGCAGUGCUUUAACCUACAUGCUUAUGUCAGCAUGCUAACAUGCUAAAAAGAACAAUUAUAACAUGCUGAUGUUUAGCAGCUAGUGGUUACUUAAUUUACCAUGCUAACAUUUGUUUAAUUAAACAUCAAGUACAGCUGAUGGGAAUUUAAUUCAUUUUGGAGGUAUGUAGUCCUAAACAAAGAAACUUAUCAUAUUAAAUUUUGAUUAAUUCUGAAGAUGGUGCUCCAUGAAAAGUCAGUGUAUCUGGAAAAAUAUUACAAUCAAUACUGAGGGCGCCAUGACUGUUUGAACCAAAUUUCAUGGAAAUCUGUUUGUUAGUCCAAUAGUUGUGAAUAUUUUUCAGUCAGGACCAGUCAUAGUGGAUCUAGAGCCAUGCUGUUAGUGCUGCUGAAAACUUUCUAAAAACUCCUAAGCUCUCUAAUUUACCUGUUGGUUCCUGUAAGCUAAGUAGCUAGUCAUCAAUCCAACAACUGCUAAAAUAAUUGCUACACUUCUGCUUCUCUUGCAGAAGAAAAAAUGCACCUUAAGUUGUGUCCUUAAAAUGUGGCUUAGGCCAAAGUAACUGUUUUUUUUUUUUAAAUCAGACAGCUUCAGAAGAUUUUUCUCUUUCAGUUGAGCUUGGUAAGCAGUUUCCAUUUGCUUCCAGUCUUUGUGAUAAGCCAACACAGCCUGGGCCUAUUUCUGUACUGGACACAUAGAGGAAUCUAAUAUCCAUCCUCUCAUCUGACUUUGGAGAAGACAAAGAAUAAGACAAUUUGCAGAGAUGUCGAACUGUUUGUUUAAAACACUUUAAACACUUAGACUUGGAGAGAAAAUACUUGGAAUCUGUUUGUUUCCAUGUUUUCCCUAUGUUUCGACUGUGACUCAAACAGUCUGAAUAAUGGAUGACGAAGAAAGAAUUUUCCCUUCCCACCCGCCCACCCUUCACUCUCUUUGCUUACGUUACACAAGGACACUGAGAGCUGAAAAUAGCGCUGCUGUCCUCAUGUGAUGUGAAAUUAAAAGCACACUGGAGCGGAGACACUUGCUGCUGGGGAACUCAACACUUGUUUUACUCCAUCUGACAAUCCCUCCAUCCAGCCUGCAACACCACCUCCAUCUGUCUGUGCAAGGGUACGUUUCACAACAGCAAGCUUUUUGGAAUAUGAUGAUGUACAUGUGAUUGUAAUAAAGAGAUUUUAAUUAGC
Centropristis striata (black sea bass) is the source of this 4660-nucleotide long non-coding RNA. RefSeq lists it as uncharacterized. Lineage: Eukaryota; Metazoa; Chordata; Actinopteri; Perciformes; Serranidae. The record is from RefSeq and is a predicted model, not a curated record. The transcript is spliced from 2 exons.